AUUCCAGCUCCAAUAGCGUAUAUUAAAGUUGUUGCAGUUAAAAAGCUCGUAGUCGGAUUUUGGUACCAAGCCGAACGGUCUGCCGAACGGUAUGCACUGUUUAGCGGGUACUUCCUUCCGGAAGCCCGUGCUCUCCUUAAUUGGAUGGCACGGCGAGUCCGGAUCAUUUACUUUGAAAAAAUUAGAGUGUUCAAAGCAGGCCUAUGCUCUGAAUAGCUUAGCAUGGAAUAAUAGAAUAGGACUUCGGUACUAUUUUGUUGGUUUCUAGGACCGAAGUAAUGAUUAAUAGGGACAGUUGGGGGCAUUUAUAUUCCAUUGUCAGAGGUGAAAUUCUUGGAUUAACGGAAGAUAAACUACUGCGAAAGCAUCUGCCAAGGAUGUUUUCAUUG
RNAcentral lists this ribosomal RNA (389 nucleotides) under Picozoa sp. Its description in RNAcentral is "partial small subunit ribosomal RNA". It matches the Rfam family "Eukaryotic small subunit ribosomal RNA", at positions 582 to 975 of the family's 1831-position model. The record is from RNAcentral. Lineage: Eukaryota; Picozoa.